UAAUAUGGCAGGCAGAAUAGUCAUGGAUUUAAACCCCAUUUAUAAAGAUCUUCCUUUUUUUAGAA
This 65-nucleotide transfer RNA is filed under the name Byrrhus sp. MJTNT-2012. RNAcentral's name for it is "tRNA-Leu". Lineage: Eukaryota; Metazoa; Arthropoda; Insecta; Coleoptera; Byrrhidae. The record is from RNAcentral.